GACGAACGCUGGCGGCAAGCCUAAUACAUGCAAGUCGAGCGAACAGAUGAAGUGCCUGCACUUCUGACGUUAGCGGCGAACGGGUGAGUAACACGUAAGGAAUCUACCUAUAAGCGGGGGAUAACAUUCGGAAACGGGUGCUAAUACCGCAUAAUAUCUUCUUCCGCAUGGAAGAAGAUUGAAAGACGGCUCUGCUGUCACUUAUAGAUGACCUUGCGGUGCAUUAGUUAGUUGGUGGGGUAAUGGCCUACCAAGACGAUGAUGCAUAGCCGACCUGGAAGGGUGAUCGGCCACAUUGGGACUGGGACACGGCCCAAACUCCUACGUGAGGCAGCAGUAGGGAAUCUUCCGCAAUGGGCGAAAGCCUGACGGAGCAAUGCCGCGUGAGUGAAGAAGGCCUUCGGGUCGUAAAACUCUGUUAUAAGAGAAGAACAAAUUGUAGAGUAACUGCUACAGUCUUGACGGUAUCUUAUCAGAAAGCCACGGCUAACUACGUGCCAGCCGCCGCAGUAA
Molecule: ribosomal RNA, 513 nt
Filed under: uncultured bacterium
Lineage: Bacteria
Description: partial 16S ribosomal RNA
Rfam family: Bacterial small subunit ribosomal RNA
Source: RNAcentral